Molecule: ribosomal RNA, 439 nt
Filed under: uncultured bacterium
Lineage: Bacteria
Description: partial 16S ribosomal RNA
Rfam family: Bacterial small subunit ribosomal RNA
Source: RNAcentral
CUACGGGCUGCUCCAGUGAGGAAUAUUGCACAAUGGAGGAAACUCUGAUGCAGCAACGCCGCGUGGAGGAUGACGCAUUUCGGUGUGUAAACUCCUUUUAUAUGUCAAGAAAAUGACGGUAGCAUAUGAAUAAGCUCCGGCUAACUCCGUGCCAGCAGCCGCGGUAAUACGGAGGGAGCAAGCGUUACUCGGAAUCACUGGGCGUAAAGGACGCGUAGGCGGGAUAGAAAGUCAGGUGUGAAAUCCUAUGGCUCAACCAUAGAACUGCACUUGAAACUUCUAACCUAGAGUAUGGGAGGGGAAGAUGGAAUUAGUGGUGUAGGGGUAAAAUCCGUAGAUAUCACUAGGAAUACCAAAAGCGAAGGCGAUCUUCUGGAACAAUACUGACGCUAAGGCGUGAAAGCGUGGGGAGCAAACAGGAUUAGAUACCCCCGUAGUC